AUUGAACGCUGGCGGCAGGCCUAACACAUGCAAGUCGAGCGGAUGAAGGGAGCUUGCUCCUGGAUUCAGCGGCGGACGGGUGAGUAAUGCCUAGGAAUCUGCCUGGUAGUGGGGGAUAACGUCCGGAAACGGGCGCUAAUACCGCAUCCGUUCUGAGGGAGAAAGUGGGGGAUCUUCGGACCUCACGCUAUCAGAUGAGCCUAGGUCGGAUUAGCUAGUUGGUGGGGUAAAGGCCUACCAAGGCGACGAUCCGUAACUGGUCUGAGAGGAUGAUCAGUCACACUGGAACUGAGACACGGUCCAGACUCCUACGGGAGGCAGCAGUGGGGAAUAUUGGACAAUGGGCGAAAGCCUGAUCCAGCCAUGCCGCGGGUGUGAAGAAGGUCUUCGGAUUGUAAAGCACUUUAAGUUGGGAGGAAGGGCAGUAAGUUAAUACCUUGCUGUUUUGACGUUACCAACAGAAUAAGCACCGGCUAACUUCGUG
Molecule: ribosomal RNA, 484 nt
Filed under: uncultured bacterium
Lineage: Bacteria
Description: partial 16S ribosomal RNA
Rfam family: Bacterial small subunit ribosomal RNA
Source: RNAcentral